UGGUGGAGUGAUUUGUCUGGUUAAUUCCGUUAACGAACGAGACCUCUGCCUGCUAAAUAGCCUUGUUAGUGGUUUUCACUGAUGGAGGCUUCUUAGAGGGACGUGCAUUCUAUUAGAUGCAGGAAGAUAGGGGCAAUAACA
Molecule: ribosomal RNA, 141 nt
Filed under: uncultured eukaryote
Lineage: Eukaryota
Description: partial 18S ribosomal RNA
Rfam family: Eukaryotic small subunit ribosomal RNA
Source: RNAcentral